AAACAAAGCAAGAAAGAGAAGAAGAGAAGUAAAGAAGAAGAGAAGUAAAGAAGAAGAGAAAAGAAGAGAAGUAAAGAAGAGAAGUAAAGAAGAAGAGAAGUAAAGAAGAAGAGAAGUAAAGAAGAAGAGAAAAGAAGAGAAGUAAAGAAGAGAAGUAAAGAAGAAGAGAAGUAAAGAAGAAGAGAAGUAAAGAAGAAGAGAAGUAAAGAGUGUGUGUUGGAUUUUGAUGUUUUAUUUGAUAUAUUUAUUCGUUUUCUUGCAUGUCUCAUGGAUGGGAGGAAGGGAAAGAGGGGAAUGUUUUUCUGUCACCAGCAGAGUUGAGUGAAG
Long non-coding RNA from Oncorhynchus tshawytscha (Chinook salmon), 327 nucleotides. The record is from Ensembl. NCBI's taxonomy places the organism in Eukaryota, Metazoa, Chordata, Actinopteri, Salmoniformes, Salmonidae.